RNAcentral lists this long non-coding RNA (221 nucleotides) under Carica papaya (papaya). Its description in RNAcentral is "long non-coding RNA (CPAP_LNC014619)". The record is from RNAcentral. Lineage: Eukaryota; Viridiplantae; Streptophyta; Magnoliopsida; Brassicales; Caricaceae.
CCAGGCCCAUAAUUCCUUACUUACAUUACCCACCAUAACCCAUCUCAUUCUCAUUAACCCGAACACCAACAUCCAUAAGCUAUGAGUAACUGGGCAAAAUAGUAAGAUGUGGUCACAUGUCUCCUAUCAACCUUGCAUAAGAAACAUCAAUUAGCAAAGGAUGUCGCCCCGCCUCCUUAACAUGUCAAUGAUCAAAAUACUUCCUCUUGAGCUUCCCAAGC